UACGUAGGGGGCUAGCGUUGUCCGGAAUCAUUGGGCGUAAAGCGCGUGUAGGCGGUCCGGUAAGUCCGCUGUGAAAGUCGGGGGCUCAACCCUCGAAUGCCGGUGGAUACUGUCGGGCUAGAGUGCGGAAGAGGCGAGUGGAAUUCCUGGUGUAGCGGUGAAAUGCGCAGAUAUCAGGAGGAACACCUAUUGCGAAGGCAGCUCGCUGGGACGUAACUGACGCUGAGACGCGAAAGCGUGGGGAGUAAACAGG
Molecule: ribosomal RNA, 253 nt
Filed under: uncultured bacterium
Lineage: Bacteria
Description: partial 16S ribosomal RNA
Rfam family: Bacterial small subunit ribosomal RNA
Source: RNAcentral